GGACGAACGCUGGCGGCGUGCCUAAUACAUGCAAGUCGAGCGGACAGAUGGGAGCUUGCUCCCUGAUGUUAGCGGCGGACGGGUGAGUAACACGUGGGUAACCUGCCUGUAAGACUGGGAUAACUCCGGGAAACCGGGGCUAAUACCGGAUGCUUGUUUGAACCGCAUGGUUCAAACAUAAAAGGUGGCUUCGGCUACCACUUACAGAUGGACCCGCGGCGCAUUAGCUAGUUGGUGAGGUAAUGGCUCACCAAGGCAACGAUGCGUAGCCGACCUGAGAGGGUGAUCGGCCACACUGGGACUGAGACACGGCCCAGACUCCUACGGGAGGCAGCAGUAGGGAAUCUUCCGCAAUGGACGAAAGUCUGACGGAGCAACGCCGCGUGAGUGAUGAAGGUUUUCGGAUCGUAAAGCUCUGUUGUUAGGGAAGAACAAGUACCGUUCGAAUAGGGCGGUACCUUGACGGUACCUAACCAGAAAGCCACGGCUAACUACGUGCCAGCAGCCGCGGUAAUACGUAGGUGGCAAGCGUUGUCCGGAAUUAUUGGGCGUAAAGGGCUCGCAGGCGGUUUCUUAAGUCUGAUGUGAAAGCCCCCGGCUCAACCGGGGAGGGUCAUUGGAAACUGGGGAACUUGAGUGCAGAAGAGGAGAGUGGAAUUCCACGUGUAGCGGUGAAAUGCGUAGAGAUGUGGAGGAACACCAGUGGCGAAGGCGACUCUCUGGUCUGUAACUGACGCUGAGGAGCGAAAGCGUGGGGAGCGAACAGGAUUAGAUACCCUGGUAGUCCACGCCGUAAACGAUGAGUGCUAAGUGUUAGGGGGUUUCCGCCCCUUAGUGCUGCAGCUAACGCAUUAAGCACUCCGCCUGGGGAGUACGGUCGCAAGACUGAAACUCAAAGGAAUUGACGGGGGCCCGCACAAGCGGUGGAGCAUGUGGUUUAAUUCGAAGCAACGCGAAGAACCUUACCAGGUCUUGACAUCCUCUGACAAUCCUAGAGAUAGGACGUCCCCUUCGGGGGCAGAGUGACAGGUGGUGCAUGGUUGUCGUCAGCUCGUGUCGUGAGAUGUUGGGUUAAGUCCCGCAACGAGCGCAACCCUUGAUCUUAGUUGCCAGCAUUCAGUUGGGCACUCUAAGGUGACUGCCGGUGACAAACCGGAGGAAGGUGGGGAUGACGUCAAAUCAUCAUGCCCCUUAUGACCUGGGCUACACACGUGCUACAAUGGACAGAACAAAGGGCAGCGAAACCGCGAGGUUAAGCCAAUCCCACAAAUCUGUUCUCAGUUCGGAUCGCAGUCUGCAACUCGACUGCGUGAAGCUGGAAUCGCUAGUAAUCGCGGAUCAGCAUGCCGCGGGUGAAUACGUUCCCGGGCCUUGUACACACCGCCCGUCACACCACGAGAGUUUGUAACACCCGAAGUCGGUGAGGUAACCUUUUAGGAGCCAGCCGCCGAAGGUGGGACAGAUGAUUGGGGUGAAGUCGUAACAAGGUAGCCGUAUCGGAA
RNAcentral lists this ribosomal RNA (1502 nucleotides) under Bacillus subtilis. Its description in RNAcentral is "bacterial SSU rRNA". It matches the Rfam family "Bacterial small subunit ribosomal RNA". The record is from RNAcentral. Lineage: Bacteria; Bacillati; Bacillota; Bacilli; Caryophanales; Bacillaceae. RNAcentral also lists the same sequence under 1 other name.